GUUAGCGGCGGACGGGUGAGUAACACGUGGGUAACCUGCCUGUAAGACUGGGAUAACUCCGGGAAACCGGGGCUAAUACCGGAUGGUUGUCUGAACCGCAUGGUUCAGACAUAAAAGGUGGCUUCGGCUACCACUUACAGAUGGACCCGCGGCGCAUUAGCUAGUUGGUGAGGUAACGGCUCACCAAGGCGACGAUGCGUAGCCGACCUGAGAGGGUGAUCGGCCACACUGGGACUGAGACACGGCCCAGACUCCUACGGGAGGCAGCAGUAGGGAAUCUUCCGCAAUGGACGAAAGUCUGACGGAGCAACGCCGCGUGAGUGAUGAAGGUUUUCGGAUCGUAAAGCUCUGUUGUUAGGGAAGAACAAGUGCCGUUCAAAUAGGGCGGCACCUUGACGGUACCUAACCAGAAAGCCACGGCUAACUACGUGCCAGCAGCCGCGGUAAUACGUAGGUGGCAAGCGUUGUCCGGAAUUAUUGGGCGUAAAGGGCUCGCAGGCGGUUUCUUAAGUCUGAUGUGAAAGCCCCCGGCUCAACCGGGGAGGGUCAUUGGAAACUGGGGGAACUUGAGUGCAGAAGAGGAGAGUGGAAUUCCACGUGUAGCGGUGAAAUGCGUAGAGAUGUGGAGGAACACCAGUGGCGAAGGCGACUCUCUGGUCUGUAACUGACGCUGAGGAGCGAAAGCGUGGGGAGCGAACAGGAUUAGAUACCCUGGUAGUCCACGCCGUAACGAUGAGUGCUAAGUGUUAGGGGGUUU
This 757-nucleotide ribosomal RNA is filed under the name Bacillus amyloliquefaciens. Its description in RNAcentral is "bacterial SSU rRNA". It matches the Rfam family "Bacterial small subunit ribosomal RNA", at positions 91 to 833 of the family's 1533-position model. The record is from RNAcentral. Lineage: Bacteria; Bacillati; Bacillota; Bacilli; Caryophanales; Bacillaceae.